RNAcentral lists this long non-coding RNA (415 nucleotides) under Oryza brachyantha (malo sina). Its description in RNAcentral is "long non-coding RNA (OBRA_LNC002053)". Lineage: Eukaryota; Viridiplantae; Streptophyta; Magnoliopsida; Poales; Poaceae. The record is from RNAcentral.
AGUUAUUACAUGCUAAAGCUUAAGAAUCUAGUGACCAUGUAGACUAACUAUAGAUUAUAUAUGCUAGAACAUAAGUUGGAAUUGACAGGCAAUGACCUUAUUAUUCAUAGAAGCCAAGGCAAGUAACCCCUGAUAUCCCAUCCUAGCACAAAUGCAACAAGAAACAAUGAGUCUUUGAUAGAACAAAGGGUAGCAACAGUGGAUAGAUGGGUAGCGAAGGAGUUGUGGUAGUAGAUGAUUAGAGAAGGAAAUAGAACAACCACAACCAUUGCUGAGCGGUGGUGAAGGGAAGUUGUGAUGCUAGGGGGCAUGUUAUGGACAAUAACAACAACAUUAAGUGUUCUUUUUUUUUUGAGAAUAAGAAGAUGGGCAGAGCUAGGAACCACAUGGAUGGUUAUUUUGUGACAAAAUUAUU